UCAGAACUUAAGAGUGAAACACCACUCC
This 28-nucleotide non-coding RNA is filed under the name Mus musculus (house mouse). Lineage: Eukaryota; Metazoa; Chordata; Mammalia; Rodentia; Muridae. The record is from RNAcentral.